GGGGGGGGGCAUCAUUCUUAGAAUAAUUGAAUAAUUAGCAUAAGCCCAGUGACAAAGAAGUGAGAUAGGCCCUAUGUUUGAGCAACAGAUUUGGGGGAAAAAAGCCCUUUGAGGCUGUAUUGCAAUAAUGUGCUAGAGAGAGAUCAACUCAUCCUGACUUGUAUAUGGUUAUAUGCCCUCAUGUGCUAGAAAACUACAGGCAAAAUGUGUGUAGAAAAAAAUAUCAUGCUCUUAUAGCAAAGAAACUUCCAGAUAUUGAGGUGCCUCAGCAGAACAAGUUAUAGAGUCAGUUCGGUGAGACCCGUGAAAUAUAUUUUACAGAACUGAGAAUUUGUUAUGUUUUGACCAUAUAUGGUUGUUUUACAAUAAAAUUGUAGUUGACUGCCAUGGUGAAAACCAGUUUUUUCUUAUCCAGACAGUUGCCCGUUUAUUCAGAUGAUGUGCAGAGAAGUAUACUGCCAGCAUCCCAAAGUAAACUACAUUAUGGGCAGUGAUUAAGUUCUAUAACAGUAUUAAUACUUGACCUUGUAGCCAGGGAUGGGAUUUUAUGAGCUUCUCUAAGAGUCUAAAAACCUCCAUGUUGUUUUGUGGGAAAAUGGUUCCUUCAUUCUAAACAACCAGUUUUCAAAUGGACUUUUGAGGGCUUUUUUAAUGUUCAUUGACUCUUUAGUAUACUUUAGGCUUUCAAGGAUUUUUAAAAAUUAGCUUAAAAUUUAGGGGUUCUUGAGUAAUGGUGAUAAUUUCAUGAUACUGGUUUAUUCUAUUCUCUGAAGUUUGUAGUCCUGUACUAAUAAAAUUUCUUUUAAAAAUAAAAAUAGCAGAAUUUCAGAAUUGCCAGAGAAUUUAGAGGUGAUUUACUAUAGGUUCCCAUCCAAUAUAGAAAUCUCUUCUAUAACAUCCUUAACAGAUUAAUAUCUAGUUUUUAUUUAAGUAUAUGUGGUGAUCGGGAGAAGUAUUCUGUUCAACGAAAUUUUUGCCAGGAAACUACAAAUAUAUCAGUAUGUAUUUAUUGGAUGGUGACUAGGUGCCCAGGACUGUGUUCAGUAUUAUGGGGAAAACAAAAUAAUUAAGGCUCCAUCUCUGCCCCAAAGGAGCUUAAGGAAUAGUUGGAGAGGCAAAAUAACAUAUUCAUUCAUUCAUUAUACCAUUUUAUUUUAUAUGCUAUGUGACAUGCUAAGUUCUGACAACACAAAACUUGGUCUUGGCUCUGAAGACGUUUACACUGUUGCAAAGAUAAACAUUCAUAUACAUCCAUCUAAAAUGCAAGAUAAUUGUUGCAGUGUGUGCGCACAUGCACAUUCCUGGUCAUAUUUCAAUGACCAUUGUUUGCAAUGACUACAAAGGAGGAGGAACAGUUUUAAGUCCACCUGGGGAAAUCAAGUUUGUCAGUAUUCUAUAUAGGAUGAUUUAAAUUAUAUUCCUGGGAGAAGAAAGUGUUAUGGUGUGUUACAAAGAAUAAGAUUUGUGAGACAAAGUAAAAGUUAAUAUAUGUUCACUUGGAAGAUUCUAGCAAAUGAGGACUCAGGUUUUUUUGAUGUAACAGCAUUUCUUCUUCCUAAAGAAUAGAGGAAUAAAGUAUUUUAAAUAUGCAUAGUGACUUUUCAUCAUAUAAUAGCAAGUUCUAAACAUUAGCUUUCCUAAGAAGUAAACUAUGCUAACUGGCAAUAUUAGCGUCAGCUAUUUUAAAAUUGAGCUGAUGUCUCAAAGCAUAUUAGUCCUUAAGAGCUGGUGAGAUUCUUUGCACUAAUACCUAAAGCUAAGGCUCUGUAGCUUUAAGUUCAAAUAUGUUAGCUUAUGUUUUGGGAUGCUGAUGUUAACUUUUAAAAUGUAGGUGCUAUGGUGAUAUAUGGAAUUGUUGAAUCACUAUAUUGUACACCUGAAAUUAAUACAACACUGUAUGCUAACUGGAAUUAAAAUAAAAACUUAAUUUAAGGGGCACCUGGGUGUCUAGUUGGGUGAGCAACGGCUCUUGGUUUCAGCUCAGGUCAUGAUCUCAGGGUCAUGGGAUCAAGCCCUGCAUUGGCCUCCACACUCAGCGUGGAGUUGGCUCGGGAUUCUUUCUCUCCCUCGGCAUGUGCUCUCUCAAAUAAAUAAGUCUUCAAAAAAUAAAAUAAAAUAAAAACUUAAUUUAAAAAAAGAAGAAGAAAAUAAAAUGUAGGUGCUAGAUAUUGGACUCAGAAAUACUUAAUGCAUGAUGAGAAAAUGUAGAGAUAUCUCCUUCUGGAUCACUUUUGUGUAUGACUGUAUUGGUUAGUCACUUGAUUUUAUAUUUUUAGAAAUUCCACACCAUCAACCACAAGUCUUUUGUCUAAUAAACAGGCCAUCAAUUACAUCAUCAUUUUACCUUGUAAGAAACCUCAUGUGCUCACUGGAAAUGCAAAACCUGGGUUGAGUUUUAUAAUUUCAGCUACAUCAAGUAAGUUUAAAGAGAAAAGUUAAGUCUUUCCCCCAGAAUGCAAACAGAAAACAUGAACUCCCCCAUAGACAGGUUUUUAGGUAAAACACAUGGCUUUUCUGAGCCUCAGUUUUAUUAAAUGAGCAGGAUAGGCAUCAUUUCCAUUUCACAAUUUAUUGUGAAAAAUUGGUGGUAAAAUAGAAAUGUAUUAUUUUUAGUCUCUUUUACUAUAGACUUCAAAUGCCUACAUCUGGUGCAUUUCCUUAUAGCCUAAGUGUGAUUAGUUGGGUUCUCUGGUAAACAGAUUGAGAAAGGUCUAAGAUAAAGGGCCAAAUGCUCAAUUCUUCCCUCUCCCAGAGGACUGUACAGGAGCUUAGUAGACAGGGGACAAGACCAGUCAAAAGAACAUUUGAUGAAAGUUCAGCUCUGGCCCCAAAGUCACUAUAUCCAUCUCCUGGUGAGCUAAGCCAGACCUCAGAUAAGUCACAAGGCCUUCCUUUCCCUAAGCACCGAAAGCUAUGUGAUCUGGAUGAAGAGGGGCUGGGAGGCAGCUCAAGAAGCUUCCUUAUCCUCUUUCCCUGCACUUUAAGCUCUGCCUGCCCAGAGGGAGAAAGGGGACACUCGGGCAAGGAAGAGACGGAGGGGGAAGGGAGAGUUGGGAGAGGGGAAGCGGGGAGAAGGAGAUUGCUGAUUCACCCUAAAGCCAAGGGGAGAGCUUGUCUGAGCUAUCCUCCCCAGGCCUUCCUCAGGUAUAGCCCACUUCCAAGAGAGAGGCAGCUCCAGACCUAUCAUAUCUCACCAGCUUCAAGGAAGAAGAGAGAGACUCAAAGUGGUGACUCCCAAGGGAAGCCCUAAAGAGAGAGUCCAGACGAAUGGAACUUGAGAGCUCCCGCCACUUGAACUCUUUUGAGCACCAAGGUUCACUACUUUUCCUUUAAUGCUACUAUCUCUACUAGCCCCAUUUCUCCUAGAAAGAAGGAAGGAGGAACAAAGAAGAGUCUUGCAUUCUGCCCGGAGGUCAACCAUCUAGAUAAGUCAGAAAAAGAUCCAUAACUGAAAUUCACUCUACGUGGUAAAAGAUCUGUUUGCCUGGAAUGUGUGGAAACUUUCUUAUCCAAAUUAAUGAUAUUUCUGGAGUCCAGAGAGGUUAGCUUCCAAAGAGCAUGAUGAUUUCCUACCAUCUCCAACACACCUAAAUGACUAAGAAUUGCCAUGACUCUUGCCUUACCUGCAAGCCUUCUGUGAUGUCCUAACAAGGUAUUGGUAUUCUCUCAUAAACGAUACCAUCUGUUCCUUCACAGAAGAUUGACCACAGCCUUGACAUCAUUCACUUGCUGAGUACUGUAGCAAUUUAUUCUUCGAUUACUAGAAGCAGCCGACCUCAAAAGGAGAAGAAAACACAAUGUGGAUACCACUAAGAUACAGGAAAUGAGAGCGUCCUUGAUGGCUGGAAAGUCCCAGACUAAACAAAGGUUAAAAAAAAAUUAACAUUUGGGGUGCCUGGGUGGCUCAGUCAGUUAAGCGACUGACCAGCUAUGGAUUUUGGCUCAGGUCAUGAUCUCAGGGUCGUGAGAGCAAUCCCUGCAUUGGCGCUCCACGCUGGGCAUGGAGUCUGCUUAGGAUUUUCUCUCUCUCCUUCUCCCCCUCCUCCACUGCACUCACAAAAUCGCACACACUCACGCUCUCUCUAAAAAUAAUUAAUUAAAAUAAAAUAACAUUUAUAGUAUGUAUAGUUUUCCUUACCCUCAAAAAGUCAGUGUGUCUGUAUUUACCGUGGUAGGAGAAUCACCUUUAUUAAGGGAAGUAUCAAAUGUAGACAAGAUCCUAAGGCAGAUGUGAUGGUUUCUUUUUUACUGAGGAAUAAAUGGAUAGUGCCUCCCAAAUCUGGCCCCCUCUUCAUGUAUCUUAAAUGAGUAAGCACUUAGCUCCGGCUUUAGGAAUCAUUAGGCAGACAUCAUUUGGCAAUUUGGAAGAUGUGUGAAAUGAAAUGUUUCAUCUCAGAGGAAGGUAGCUAGAAGCCAAAUAUUUCCAGAUGUUCACUAGCAUCCAAUUUUAUAAGUGUGCGUGCUUGCUGUUGUUGUGGUUUGUUUCCCUUUGGUGGGAAAAUGUGUUUGUUUAUUCACCUCAUAUUUAUUGCAUACCUAAUUUGUGCCAGGCUGUGUUAGUAAGGAUGGAGCCCCCUUUAAAGAGCUUCCUGGUCUAGGAAGUAAAAUGAUGAGCAAUUACGCCAUGUUUCCUUAGGUGCUAUGAUAGGGGGCAAACCAGGGCUUAAAAGACUGUUCUUUUAUUUUUAAGAUUUUAUUUAUUUAUUUGACAGAGAGAGUGCCCAAGCACACUAGCAGUGGGAGGGACAGAGGGAGAAGGAGAAGCAGACUCCCCACCGAGCAAGGAGCUCAAUCCCAGGACCCUGGGAUAAUGACCUGAGCCAAAGGCAGAUGCUCAACCAAUUAACCAACUGAGCCACCCAGGCGCCCUGUUCCAGUUCUGUUUAACUGGAAUAAGGAUUCUGUAAAUAAUGACUCAGGAAACUAUGCCUUAACUUUUUCAGUGUUUAAUUCUACUCCCAGACUAAUGGCAAUCAGUUCCCUCAAGCACAGAAAUUUCUGAUAAUGCUGAACUUGAGCAGAUGUGCUUGACGUCUGGGUUUUAGUCACGUACAGAUGAACCCUAUUCCAAGUGUACUAUUGCUAUACCUUACCACCAAGAGAAUUCAUAAAUUCAAAAAUUCAAAUUUUAAUCAGUUCCUCCCUCCAAUCCCUUGAAUUUUGCUUCAAGGACAUCGACUCGUGCGUCAGAGGUGCCAGGGUCUGACUUUUUUUUCCUUCUCCUUUCCCCAUUGCUAUUGGGGAAAUGAGCAACCAAUAAAAACAGACAUUUUACUCAGCCCUUGUGUUUGUUAAUAAACACCUUAAAAUUGGGCAGUUUGCUUAAGACUGGUGUUUUUUCUCUCUUUCUUGUUACUAUCUGGCUAUACGUACACUUCCUCCAUACACAAUGUGUUAUUACCUGUCCAUCAUAUAAGUUUUCGACACCACCCUUAAAGGGAAGGCAGACGUCAUGCCCAUGGCACACACGGAACCCCACACCCUUGCACAUACGCGUUCCCAUUUCCCCUGGAGAAAGGCGCUGGCUUGUGCUGGUGAGAGGGAUGCCAUGUGCAGUGCUUGGGGAUGUCUGUUUGUGCUCCCGUGGUCACUGCCCCCAAACAUACACACACUGGCCUCGGAGAGUAGCAAGACGUGUGAAUCGGACAUUUGCUGAGAAUGAAUGCAUUUAGAUGUUCACCCCUUUAGAACCAUCUUUCCUACCGUUUCAGUUCCUUUUCUUUCUCACCAAGAUUUGUUUGUACCUCAAAUAUGUCCAGCAGUUAGCCCUGAAACAAAAUCUGCAUUUUCAGAGCAAAUCUUGUCACUGAUGGAGGCAAAUAUUAUCUCUUGAGAAUAGGUGCUUUAUCUUCUAGCACCAUCUUUCUGAGAGAGUAAGUUUGUAUGUUAACUGAUAACUUAGAGACAUGAAAAUUAACUUCCUUCCCUUGUAUUUCUCUGUCUUCUCCCAAGAGAAAUGAGUCUACCUCAGAGAGGAAGAGCCAUCCUCGAUCUUUGGCAUCUUUUCUCUUGCUCUUCCCAAGUGCAACCCUAUGUUCCUUCCUCUGGACCCACGAGGUUCUGACCUUAACCCUCCCAUAACCUAUCCAAGGCCAGUAGCUUCAAGGUCCAAAUGAAGGUGCUCCAACCCCAUGAAGCCCACCCUGCUCGCUGCAAGCCUGAGUGUUCAUUGUACUUCCCACGCUGUUUACCUGGUGUAUGUACUGCCUUGUUUGGACCCCUGUUUGAUUUUCAUAUGACUCUUUAUGCCUCUCCAGUAGAAUUGUAAGUGCUUUUAGAACAGCAAACCCUGGUUAUGCCUCCUUGAUUUUCCUAUGCUGCUUAGCAUAGAGUGGAUAUUCAAGAAGUUUUAGUUGAUAAAACUAAAACUACUCUACCCUUAGUAUCUCUGAACAAGCCCUGGGAAAUAGGUCUUUAGGAUCUGUUUCUUGCUAGGUCAUUCUUGGGUUAGGAGAGAUUUUUUUUGAUGUCAGAUUGGGGGCAAAUCUGGAUGAUUAGCUGCAGGGUAGAACCCUUUGGAAUCAGCUGUAUUUGAAUCUAUGGGGUGGGAAAAGGAUAUGGUUAAUCACCUUUAUAUUGGCCCAUCUGCCUCUUUGUAGCUGCCAUCUACCUGUUUGUAACUAAGCCAUAACGAAGUUAAAGCACUAUCUCUUUGGGAUGCCUGGGUGGCUCAGUCGGUUAAGUGUCUGCCUUCAGCUCAGGUCAUGAUCCCAGAGUCCUGGGAUCGAGUCCCGCGUCAGGCUCCCUGCUCAGUGGGGGGCCUGCUUCUCCCUCUGCCUCUGUCUGCCGCUCUCUCGCUCUCUCUCUCUCUCUCUCUCUCUGACAAAUAAAUAAAAUCUUUUAAAAAAAGGCACUACCUCUUUAAAGAGUCAACCUCAAUCUAAAGAAUAUGCCUGGAUCACAAGUUAGCAUGUUGGAAUGACACCUGCUGUUUUAUCGUACGCAGCACGUUUUCUCACUUUCAGUGAUAAUACAGUCAUAACUAUGACUUAAAGUCUAGACAAGAGAAAUAAUUUGGGGGUUCUAAUACAUAGAAAAAGAGUAAUGGACUUAAUUGUUGAGGUUGUAGGACAGUACGUGCUCUCAUUUGCUGUUAUUGGGAGAUUUAUAAAGAAGUUCAACCUUUGUUUGGUGGGGAGAGGAAUUUGGCACGACAGGUGCGCAUUGUCUGGUACUACCCAAGCAACGCUGAUUCUUCAUCAUGUUAGUCUUGAGACUAAAUUUUCAUAUUAAAACAUACACACACACUUUUUCUUCUGGAAAAGAUACUAAAGCAAGCGUUGCACUUCAAAACACUCCCUCUGCUCAGUGUAGAUAGCCGUGAUAAUGUAUAAAAAGAGAUUUAAAAAAAUUCAUACACGGACUCAAAAACAAGACAGCAUUUCUGUGGAGCAGGAAUGGACUACUGAGUGGGGCUGAGGCAGCUGCCGGGCUGUGAGCCAACAGCAGGAGGCAGCAGCCAGGGGCUCCGCUCUCCCCCGUCUCCCCCCAGCAAGGGGAGCUAAAAAUGCAUGCUACAAGAUAAGAGACUGGAGCCUGGUCACUGUUUGAAGCCAAAGGCCCCCCCUCCCGAAAGGAAGCAGAGAAGAAUGACAAGUAACUGGAUGGUGGACUGGUGCUUCUGAGGAAACCGAGCCUCCCAACCAGGAGCGGAGCCAGCCUGCUUGCUGUUUCCCGACCGGAUCUGUGAGACCCUGACAUCGGAGCGGAACAUCAGAAUGCCAUGAUAAGAGCCAAUGGUGGGUUGGGGGGCUGGGGGUUGGGUGCAGGAAACCACAGAAGAGCACACAAGAGAUGGUCAGAGACAAUCUCCAUCUCAGAAACAGCCUCCCACUGAGGGCACAGGAAGAAAACUAUGCUCAGAGAAGGCUCUCAGCAAAAUUAGCUGUUGGACCAUUGAUUCACUUGAGACCAAACUCCAUUUUGAACCAAAUAAUGAAGUUCAAAUAAAUACACUUGCAGUGGUCAAAAAGAUAAAGAUAUAACAUUAAAAAAUGGGGAGUUGUGACAGAAGAGCAAAUGGAUAUAAAACAUUUAGAAAGUUUGGAAAUAAAAAAGUCACUGAAUUUAAAAAUAUGAAAAGUAAGACCAUGAAUUAGGUAAGAGUCCUGAGUUUCUCAGAACCCAGCACAGAGAGGCAGUGAUUUAAAAGCACACACACCCGUGGGGGGAUCACUGAGAGGCUCUAACAUAUGUCCAGUAGGAAUGACAGGAAAAAAAUGGAAGAAAUGAUGGAGCAAGUGUGGAAGCAAUAUUUAAAGAAAUUUUGCUGAAGUCUUCCAAAAUUGAAGAAAGUUGAGUCCUGAGCUACAGAUACUGAGCAGGAUUAAUCCACAUAUAUUCAAAAUUAAAGUGAAAUUGUAGAAGAUCUGGGAUUAAAGGCAAGA
Molecule: long non-coding RNA, 8387 nt
Organism: Mirounga angustirostris (Northern elephant seal)
Lineage: Eukaryota; Metazoa; Chordata; Mammalia; Carnivora; Phocidae
Exons: 2
Source: RefSeq, a predicted model, not a curated record